This 267-nucleotide self-splicing intron is filed under the name Parcubacteria group bacterium GW2011_GWC2_49_9. It matches the Rfam family "Bacterial large subunit ribosomal RNA", at positions 275 to 493 of the family's 2925-position model. The record is from RNAcentral.
UGAACCCCUACAAAGGUUCAGGUAGGAUUUGUUCGAGGGAGUUCCUCUUCUGGAUCCCCCGCCUUCGGCGGGGGGCACGGAUGAGGUGCUCUCCAAUUCGUAGCAGAAUGGGCUGGAAUGCUCAACCAUAGAAGGUGAAAGUCCUGUACGCAAAACGAGUUGGGACCUACGAUAAUUUCUCUCGAGUACCAUGGAACACGUGAAAUUCUAUGGGAAACCAGGGCGACUAUCGCUCUAAGGCUAAAUACGUCGUGUGAUCUAUAGUGA